UAAGGAAUAUUGGACAAUGGACGCAAGUCUGAUCCAGCCAUGCCGCGUGAAGGAUGAAUGCCCUCUGGGUUGUAAACUUCUUUUACAGGGGAAGAAAGUUAUCUUUUUUAGGAUAUUUGACGGUACCCUAUGAAUAAGCACCGGCUAACUCCGUGCCAGCAGCCGCGGUAAUACGGAGGGUGCAAGCGUUAUCCGGAUUCACUGGGUUUAAAGGGUGCGUAGGCGGGUAUGUAAGUCAGUGGUGAAAUACCGGAGCUUAACUUCGGAACUGACAUUGAUACUAUAUAUCUUGAAUAUUGUGGAGGGAAGCGGAAUAUGUCAUGUAGCGGUGAACUGCUUAGGGAUGACAUAAAACACCGAUUGCGAAGACAGCUUGCUACGCAAAUAUUGACGCUGAGGCACGAAAGCGUGGGGAUCAAACAGG
RNAcentral lists this ribosomal RNA (424 nucleotides) under Bacillota bacterium. RNAcentral describes it as "Firmicutes bacterium partial 16S ribosomal RNA". It matches the Rfam family "Bacterial small subunit ribosomal RNA", at positions 355 to 776 of the family's 1533-position model. Lineage: Bacteria; Bacillati; Bacillota. The record is from RNAcentral.